GACGAACGCUGGCGGCGUGCUUAACACAUGCAAGUCGAACGGAAAGGUCCUGCUUUUGUGGGGUGCUCGAGUGGCGAACGGGUGAGUAACACGUUAGUAACCUGCCCUUGACUUUGGGAUAACUUCAGGAAACUGGGGCUAAUACCGUAUAGUAGCUCCUGCUGCAUGGUGUGGGUUGGAAAGUUUCGUCGGUUGGGGUUGGCCUCGCGGCUUAUCAGCUUGUUGGUGGGGUAGUGGCUUACCAAGGCUUUGACGGGUGGUCGGUCUGAGAGGAUGACCGGCAGCAUUGAGACUGAGAUAUGGAGCAGACUGCUACGGGAGGCAGAAAUGGGGAAUAUUGCAAAAAGAGCGGAAGCAUGAUGCAACAACGCGGCGUGCGGGAUGACGGACUUAGGGUUGUAAACCGCUUACGACUAUGACGAAGCGUGAGUGAAGGUAAUGGGUAAAGAAGAACGGAAUAGCUACGUG
This 468-nucleotide ribosomal RNA is filed under the name uncultured bacterium. Its description in RNAcentral is "partial 16S ribosomal RNA". It matches the Rfam family "Bacterial small subunit ribosomal RNA", at positions 28 to 507 of the family's 1533-position model. The record is from RNAcentral.